Pelobates cultripes (western spadefoot toad) is the source of this 445-nucleotide non-coding RNA. NCBI's taxonomy places the organism in Eukaryota, Metazoa, Chordata, Amphibia, Anura, Pelobatidae. The record is from the annotation of a GenBank genome assembly.
AUUCGGUUGAGGGGUUCGGGAGUUAUGGGUCUUUGAAGUUUUGACCGACCGCACAGGUUUUCUAGCCGAAAAGAGUUCCAUAAGUUUUGGCCUUGCGGUCGGUCUCCGUUCGUGCAUAAAAACCCCACGAACCCCUUGCCAUCCACAGUAAUCUUGGUGUUCGCCUGAAUCCCCAUGAAUGCUUAAACAAAACUACCGAACGGCCGGUCGUUCGGUAGUUCCAGCACGAACUUAGGAGCUCCUGGAGGUCUCAGCGGUGUUCGCCUGUUUGCGUAUCCGUUUUUAGUUCCAUGCGUUCACAGGCAAACACCGCCGUUCGUGCGUAAGAUGGCUGCGAACACGUGUAAAGUCCCGAAAUGGCGGCCAUCUAACCUGAGCACAACGGGAUUCGUCUGAACCAUGCGAACGGCUCCACAAUCACUGGGAGGUAAAAUAGCAAUUAACU